UCCUGCUCACUGCUGAUCAACACCUGAGUUUACCUUUAUGGAGAAGUCAGCAGUGCGACAGCGCCCCCCUGUGGACGAUUAUGUAUCUGCCUUUGAGGAUGUCACCUGACUUUCUGUUGGUGUCAAUUUGUCAACACAUCAUGAUAAUCAAUGACUCUGGUCGUAUGUAUUCAUCAAAUUAAGAAUAAUAAAAUGAAAUAAAAUCCAUUUAGAAAGUAUUUAGCGUCACUGAGCAGCCUCACUGCUCCCUGAAACAUAAAAACACCUUUAACAAAGCUGAAUUCCUGAAAAAUCCUUGAAUGUUAUGAAACAACUCUGAACCUCCAACAAACAACAAAUAAACAGAUAACUCUCAACUGGGUUUUCAGAAGCACUUUAUUCCUUAAUAAAACUCUGAUCUGUACAAGUUGGAGUUACACUCGACACAGAAAUGUCCUCAGUGAUACAGGCAUUAAUAUAUAAAGACAGCGCCAUCACCUGACGUAUGUUGGUGUAAAAUAAAACUCCACACCUUCAGAAACCUGCAGAGGUGACAGCUGUACACAAGUCAGAUUAAAAACCAAACCCAGAUCAUUUCAUCCCUAAUUAAUGAUCGGUGGAAAAAAAGAGAGCUAUUACAUUUUAAAAGCUAUUUACACUUACAUUCCUAUUUCUGAAACAAAAAACAGAUUUUUAACUAAAUGAACAAAGACAGUCACCAUCUGCACACCGAGGAUGUGAUGCUCAUCAUCCAGUGUGAAUCCUCCAUUCAGUGGAAAGAAACUGCAUUUAAAUGGUUCACUCUUAUGGGCUGAGUUGUACGACCGAACUCAGGUUGGAGAGGUUGCAAAACAAGCCCAUUCGACGUUAUUCUCUCAGCCCUUUAACGCCAGUUGCAUCAUAUUUGCUACAGGAGUUUCUGAGACCUCUACGUCACCAAUAGAUCAAUACCUUCCUGAAAAACCUGUUGUGUGCAAUCUGAUUCCUGUCUUCUGCCCUCUGGGGGCGUUUCCGUGCACUGCAGGCAGUAACGGGCCUCUGAAUACCACACCCAACAUGGCUGCCGUCGUGCAGCGAUUCGCACGUUUUUGGCAGUGAAAUCUUUGCUAAUUUUGAAAAAGUUACGGAAAAAACAACAUUUAUAUUGUUACUAUUUACUGUAUUGAAGAAACUUAUAAUUGCUUAAUAUUUCGUACCUUAUUUUAUAGUAAAAUCGUGGAUCACAUUUGAUGCAGCAGGUAUAUAAGGUAGUAAAUCCCCCAAAUCGUCUUUGAAUUGCAUUUCAUGAUGCAUCUGCAGUAUACCUAAAACACUGUUUAAAUAAUUUAGUUAAACUGAUUAAAGAUUGAAAUGUCAUCUUAAGAUAUAGAGUCGAAUUUGAGAUAUUUAUAUGGGUUUUUAUAAUGGCAAUGGCUCACUUGCUAAUAAUUGUCUUUUUCUUAUCGAUUUUCACUAAAACAGUCGCUUGGCUGUCACAGUCUGUUUGUUAUUUUGACCAAUUCAGAGAAAUUCAGAGUACACACUAAUUAGUUUUUCGUGUGUAUUUUUGAUGGCAAAGAACAGAAACAGUGUUUUUGUUGCCAACAUAAGGCAAAAUAAAAAGGUUGUAAAAAGGUUCCAGUUUGAAAAAAGAAGCAAACCAAAUGAAAUGUUCCAAACGCAAUGAACAAUAUUUGUUUUUGUUUCUAAAAUAAAUAUUGUUGUGAUCAAUAAAUUUCCAUAAAAGCCUGAAAAAAUCAUAUAUGUGAAUGAUUAAAAACAUUUUUUUUUGGAUUUUGUUAAAAGGUCCAAUAAACACUUCAAUUUAAAACAAUUUGAAUUUUCUGGCUAUUAUUUGAUGUGUCAGGCUUCACAGGGAUUAUUAACAAAGACAGUCAUCGUCUGCACGCUGAGGGUGUGAUGUUCAUUCAGUGUUAUUCUCUCAACACACUACGGCGCCUGCACAAAGGGAAACACGCCAGGUUGCAGAGAUUUCACACUUGGACCCAUUCAAUGCACUGAUGCAUUAAAAGGUGGCUAGCUGCCUGUUAGCUGUCAUAAAGUAGAGAGAUCACUGGACGUAGCAGAGGAGGCCACGAGGGAAAAACAAAGCCUCGACAACCUGUACAGGAGCCCCUCCCCCAGACCACCACCACCGUCCACUUUGAAACAUGGAACAAAUGAUUUGUUAUUUGAAGCUCUUUCUCUCUUUAACUCUAAUUUAGUUAUUUAUUCAGUGUGUGUGGGUAGGUGGGUUGCAUAUGUUAAUAUUUUUUUAAACUUUAAAUAUAUAUGGUCAGUGAAGUGUAAUGGAUCUUUGUUCUUUAAAUACCUUAUGAUAACAAUUUGAAGUAGGAGCUCAGAUGUCCUUCUGUUCAUAGUAUUCUUUCAUCCAGCUUUCUUUUGCUCAUUGUCAGGUGUGAUCAUGUAGCCUGUUGCCUUUUCUUCGCUAGCAGUCAGGUCAACACCGGCCACAUCUGUAUCACAACAUGGUCAGAGCAUUUUCAGCAGCACUGCUACCAGAGCAGGCUAACUCUGCAGUAAAAGGAGCAAACAGCCAGGUUGCAAUAUUUCCCAUACAAUGUUCUCCAGCUGUUUCAAUAGCCUUGCUUAUUCUACUGUUUUAUGAUUCGCUUUUAUUGUUUUGUAGUUUUCAUGGUUUGUUUUGUCUUCACAGUGAUCACAAGAAAUUCAGUGUUUCUGUGAAACCCAAAGUGGACACAUUACAACUGAGUUGACGUUAAGGUAUGAAAUUUAUAUCCCAUGAUUAUAUCAAACAUGACUGGAUUAGAUUAUAUAGCUCAUUUCACUUUACAUAACAACAACAUUUUGUGGCGGCUUUUAUCCAAAGGGCCUUGAAUAGUAGCCUACGUGCAUUUUCUGCAGGUAGCACUUGUAGGAAUCAAACCCCUGACCCUGUCAGUGCCAUGUUGUACCCACUGAGCUACAGGACUUUAAACUUAAAUCAAUCAUGUGGCUCUGAUUUAUUUAAACUAUAGUUUGUCUAGCAGUUUAUAGUCAUAUGUACAGCAUCGUCCUAUUUGCUGGGUUGAUAUGAAGAUCCAUAUAAAAGUGUAGAUGUACACCAAUGCUCCAAAACAGCUUUAUUUAUUAAAAACUAGACAAAGGUUCAACCCAACAGUAUUCAUCAAGUCUCCAGGACAGUGUCUGACAGCAGAACAUAACAUGGGUUAUUCCAAACAUAUUUACAGUUUAUUGUACACUCAGCAAGAAUCUUUGAAUUCUCAGCUCAGAAAAAUGCUAUAUUUCUGAAACAUUUUCGACAUGUUUGUGUAUAGAUCAAAGCUGUAAUCUAGUCAUGUUCAGAAAUUAAACAUUGUCUAAUUAACUAAUUGUCCUUCAUUGAAUGGGCUUUUUCUCAUAAUCUCUAUAACUUGUGUUGUGGAACUGUGUAACUCAACCAUUGAAUGGAGCACUUUUACACAGCCUAAAUGAUUCCACUGAAUGGGCUUUUCCUCAGUUUUAAAGAAACAUACAAGCAAACUUUUUACACAACUG
Siniperca chuatsi (mandarin fish) is the source of this 3477-nucleotide long non-coding RNA. RefSeq lists it as uncharacterized. Lineage: Eukaryota; Metazoa; Chordata; Actinopteri; Centrarchiformes; Sinipercidae. The record is from RefSeq and is a predicted model, not a curated record. The transcript is spliced from 3 exons.